UCCCGCCUGCCCAGUGACUCUUUAAACGGCCGCGGUAUCCUAACCGUGCAAAGGUAGCAUAAUCACUUGUCCCCUAAAUAGGGACUAGAAUGAACGGCUAAAUGAGGACAAAACUGUCUCUUACGGACUAACCAAUGAAAUUGAUCUUCCAGUACAAAAGCUGGAAUAAACCCAUAAGACGAGAAGACCCUGUGGAGCUUUAAAACCAAAAUCACCAAACAUGAUACUUGGUUUUUUAGUUGGGGCGACUUUGGAGCAAAAAAAACCCUCCAAAAUAUAAACCCAUUUAUUAAGAAUAACACACCAAAAAUAAUUAAAUAGACCCAGCAACAUCUUAUGUUGUCUGACCAAUGAACCAAGUUACCCCAGGGAUAACAGCGCCAUCCUCUUCUAGAGUCCCUAUCGACAAGAGGGUUUACGACCUCGAUGUUGGAUCAGGACACCCCUAUAGUGCAGCCGCUAUAAAAGGUUCGUUUGUUCAACGAUUAAAGUCCUACGUGAUCU
Molecule: ribosomal RNA, 504 nt
Filed under: Podarcis hispanicus (Iberian wall lizard)
Lineage: Eukaryota; Metazoa; Chordata; Lepidosauria; Squamata; Lacertidae
Description: partial 16S ribosomal RNA
Rfam family: Bacterial large subunit ribosomal RNA
Source: RNAcentral